Molecule: ribosomal RNA, 253 nt
Filed under: uncultured bacterium
Lineage: Bacteria
Description: partial 16S ribosomal RNA
Rfam family: Bacterial small subunit ribosomal RNA
Source: RNAcentral
GACGGGGGGGGCAAGUGUUCUUCGGAAUGACUGGGCGUAAAGCGCACGUAGGCGGCUUCUUAAGUCAGGGGUGAAAUCCUGGAGCUCAACUCCAGAACUGCCUUUGAUACUGAGGAGCUUGAGUCCGGGAGAGGUGAGUGGAACUGCGAGUGUAGAGGUGAAAUUCGUAGAUAUUCGCAAGAACACCAGUGGCGAAGGCGGCUCACUGGCCCGGUACUGACGCUGAGGUGCGAAAGCGUGGGGAGCAAACAGG